UACGGAGGGUGCGAGCGUUAUUCGGAAUUACUGGGCGUAAAGCGCACGCAGGCGGCUAUUUAAGUCAGAUGUGAAAGCCCCGGGCUUAACCUGGGAACUGCAUUUGAAACUGGAUAGCUAGAGUAUGUUAGAGGAAGGCGGAAUUUCCAGUGUAGCAGUGAAAUGCGUAGAUAUUGGAAGGAACACCGAUGGCGAAGGCAGCCUUCUGGGGCAAUACUGACGCUCAUGUGCGAAAGCGUAGGUAGCAAAC
This 250-nucleotide ribosomal RNA is filed under the name uncultured Suttonella sp. RNAcentral's name for it is "partial 16S ribosomal RNA". It matches the Rfam family "Bacterial small subunit ribosomal RNA", at positions 524 to 773 of the family's 1533-position model. The record is from RNAcentral. Lineage: Bacteria; Pseudomonadati; Pseudomonadota; Gammaproteobacteria; Cardiobacteriales; Cardiobacteriaceae.